This 17-nucleotide ribosomal RNA is filed under the name Xylaria sp. 3 RV-2015. Its description in RNAcentral is "partial 28S ribosomal RNA". Lineage: Eukaryota; Fungi; Ascomycota; Sordariomycetes; Xylariales; Xylariaceae. The record is from RNAcentral.
GUGACCUCGAUCAGGUA